GUCCCCAUAGCUCAACUGGAUAGAGCAGCGGUUUCCUAAACCGCGCAUCCCGGUUCAAGUCCGGGUGGGGGCGCCA
This 76-nucleotide transfer RNA is filed under the name Opitutus terrae PB90-1. Its description in RNAcentral is "tRNA-Arg (CCT) (tRNA-Arg-CCT-1-1)". It matches the Rfam family "tRNA". Rfam says of the family: Transfer RNA (tRNA) molecules are approximately 80 nucleotides in length. Their secondary structure includes four short double-helical elements and three loops (D, anti-codon, and T loops). Further hydrogen bonds mediate the characteristic L-shaped molecular structure. tRNAs have two regions of fundamental functional importance: the anti-codon, which is responsible for specific mRNA codon recognition, and the 3' end, to which the tRNAs corresponding amino acid is attached (by aminoacyl-tRNA synthetases). tRNAs cope with the degeneracy of the genetic code in two manners: having more than one tRNA (with a specific anti-codon) for a particular amino acid; and 'wobble' base-pairing, i.e. permitting non-standard base-pairing at the 3rd anti-codon position. The record is from RNAcentral. RNAcentral also lists the same sequence under 1 other name. Lineage: Bacteria; Pseudomonadati; Verrucomicrobiota; Opitutia; Opitutales; Opitutaceae.